RNAcentral lists this ribosomal RNA (343 nucleotides) under Bacillus licheniformis. RNAcentral describes it as "bacterial SSU rRNA". It matches the Rfam family "Bacterial small subunit ribosomal RNA", at positions 1160 to 1501 of the family's 1533-position model. The record is from RNAcentral. Lineage: Bacteria; Bacillati; Bacillota; Bacilli; Caryophanales; Bacillaceae.
UAACUGGAGGGAGGUGGGGAUGACGUCAAAUCAUCAUGCCCCUUAUGACCUGGGCUACACACGUGCUACAAUGGGCAGAACAAAGGGCAGCGAAGCCGCGAGGCUAAGCCAAUCCCACAAAUCUGUUCUCAGUUCGGAUCGCAGUCUGCAACUCGACUGCGUGAAGCUGGAAUCGCUAGUAAUCGCGGAUCAGCAUGCCGCGGUGAAUACGUUCCCGGGCCUUGUACACACCGCCCGUCACACCACGAGAGUUUGUAACACCCGAAGUCGGUGAGGUAACCUUUUGGAGCCAGCCGCCGAAGGUGGGACAGAUGAUUGGGGGAAGUACGUAGUCAAGGAGGCC